This 1203-nucleotide long non-coding RNA is filed under the name Rattus norvegicus (Norway rat). RNAcentral's name for it is "long non-coding RNA NONRATT014211". The record is from RNAcentral. Lineage: Eukaryota; Metazoa; Chordata; Mammalia; Rodentia; Muridae.
GCAGACUGUGUUCUCGUGAAGAUGAACAAGGGAAGGUCUCAGCACAGAUGCUCAGAAAGCCUUUUUUUUUUUUUAAACUGGGAAAUGUCUGAGGCAGUCUAAAAGCCUGUUAGAGGUUGCAGGUGAAAAAGUCUAGAAGAGAAGGGCACUAAUGUCCUGCAAAAGGCAUGUGCUGUUACUUUGGGAGAGAUUGUAAAACAACCAAGAUCACAGUACUACUGUGACACAGUUAUAAGUAGAAAAGAGCUUUCAAGGAAUGAAGGAGUGAAGUGAAGGAGAGAAGUAAUGAACACACUGAGACUGUCCUGCUAGGGGAAUUCAGGCCCAUAAAGCUGGGAGCAGCUCCCAGCCAUAAUCCCAACGCUUGGGACGCUGGGGCUGGCCUGGGCUACAUAGGAAGAAGGGAGGCAGAAACAAUUGAGGUGAAAGGAUUGUUCCAGAGGUGCUCCCUUUCUAGCACAGUGCUCAGAUGGUAGUAGGUCUCUUCAGAACAGCUUUUUCUUCUCUUUAAAUUCAGGACGUAAUCUAGGACUCUGCUCCCUGAGCCCCAUGUUUAAAUGUCUAUCACAGAAUGGCAUUCAUUCUACACCUACAGGAUCAGAAAUGCCAGGCUCCAUCAUAUACUCUGUGAAGUACUUGUCAUGUGUGGUGUAGGGUUGUAUUUUUUUUCCCUUGAAUUACUAUAAAUCCUAAAUAUAAAACAUAAAGGAAAACUAAAAAUUUUUAAAGUGCAAUUUGGAAGCCUGUGAAGGUGACUGAUAUCAGUUUUUGAUACCUUGACAAUUGUAGCCUUGUUGGGAUGACCACUUAACAGUCACAGAGGUUGUUUUCUUUUCUAUUGGCUUAGACAUCACUGCUAAGGCUUCCUAUGUUGCUGCUUCCCCCUCAUUGUCAGCAUCUGAAGCCGUGCCUAUCCUCUCUGGGGGCUUUAAUGUGCCGUUUGUUUUGUUCCUGCUCUUCUUUGCCAGCAACAGCCAUCAUCCAGGUUGAAGACCAGAAUACAGGUGCAAUUGAGAACAUUAUAGUUGAAGUCAAAAAAGAGCCAGAUGCCGAGCCUGCGGAGGGGGAAGAGGAGGAGGCUCAGGCAGCACCCGCAGACGCCCCCAACGGAGACCUCACGCCUGAGAUGAUUCUCAGCAUGAUGGACCGGUGAUGACGGGGCUUUGCUCGCCACCAGGACUGUUGGGCUGUGUUUAAACGGCC